Molecule: unclassified non-coding RNA, 242 nt
Filed under: uncultured fungus
Lineage: Eukaryota; Fungi
Also listed under: 1 other name
Description: partial contains 5.8S ribosomal RNA, internal transcribed spacer 2, and large subunit ribosomal RNA
Rfam family: 5.8S ribosomal RNA (bases 1-52)
Source: RNAcentral
AACGCACAUUGCGCCCUCUGGUAUUCCGGGGGGCAUGCCUGUUCGAGCGUCAUUACAACCCUCAAGCUUUGCUUGGUAUUGGACAUUGCCAGUUUCUGGCAGGUCUUAAAAUCAGUGGCGGUGCCAUUUGGCUUCAAGCGUAGUAAUUCUUCUCGCUUUGGAGAUCCAGGUGGUUACUUGCCAAUAACCCCCAAUUUUUUCAGGUUGACCUCGGAUCAGGUAGGGAUACCCGCUGAACUUAA